This 239-nucleotide ribosomal RNA is filed under the name uncultured bacterium. Its description in RNAcentral is "partial 16S ribosomal RNA". It matches the Rfam family "Bacterial small subunit ribosomal RNA", at positions 15 to 245 of the family's 1533-position model. The record is from RNAcentral.
GAUCAUGGCUCAGGAUGAACGCUAGCUACAGGCUUAACACAUGCAAGUCGAGGGGCAGCGGGAAGUCAGCUUGCUGACUUUGCCGGCGACCGGCGCACGGGUGAGUAACACGUAUCCAACCUCCCGCAUACUCGGGAAUAGCCUUUCGAAAGAAAGAUUAAUGCCCGAUGGUUUCAAGGGAUUGCAUGGUAUCUUGAAUAAAGAUUCAUCGGUAACGGAUGGGGAUGCGUUCCAUUAGG